This 67-nucleotide transfer RNA is filed under the name Okanagana noveboracensis. Its description in RNAcentral is "tRNA-Tyr". Lineage: Eukaryota; Metazoa; Arthropoda; Insecta; Hemiptera; Cicadidae. The record is from RNAcentral.
GUUGGAAUGACUGAUAAAAAGUAAUAAACUGUAAAUUUAUAUAUGAAAAAUAAAAUUUCUUUCAACA